UCGUAACUUCGAUCUUUCUCUCGUCUGACUCUGCCUUCACAGUCCUAUAAUUUCAUUUCAUUUCAUUUCCUCGAACUUCCACGAAUCUACGAUCCUACGCAUUUUCUUGUGAAAUUUUUGGUUUGAAGAUCUGAUGUAUGAAUCGAAAUUUCAUGUGGUGAAUGAUCUGUCAAGCAUUGCGAAGAAUUAUCACGUAAGACCGAAGUAUGAUACAGGACUAGGUGAAAGCAAGUUUGUUCUCCAGGAGUUGGAUUUGCUGAAAGAAGAUUCAAUUGUUUACAAACUGGUUGGUCCUAUUCUUGUGAGGCAAGAUCCAGCAGAGCCAAAUGCAAACGCUCGGAAAAGAGUUGGUUACCUCACUGCUGAAUGAAGCGCGUUGAUGCAAUUAUCGGGGACUUGGGAGAGGAGAAAAUUAUCAAAAGAGAGUAGUGAAUUUGUUUCGGAUAAGCGCCAGUGAAUAGAUAUUGAAGAAACAAAGGGAAAGCACUGAACGAGCAACCAUUUUACAAGUUCGUAUUCAUAUUCAACUCAGUAUUUCAAAACAAUUAAUUGAUGAGAAAACUGGAAAAAAUGGUUGCAUGUGCACAAAUUUGAUCAUGGUUCAAAUUCGUCUGUAAGCUAGACUAAGAUGCAGAGACUAGAAAAGCAAAAACCAUAUAUUUCGAAAAAAUAAUUAUAAUUGUAAAUUAUCGAGAAACCUGUUAUUGCUUCUCGACUGAUUUGGCAAGUUAUACCGUCUCUUCCAUUUCCCCA
Cucurbita pepo subsp. pepo (vegetable marrow) is the source of this 753-nucleotide long non-coding RNA. RefSeq lists it as uncharacterized. Lineage: Eukaryota; Viridiplantae; Streptophyta; Magnoliopsida; Cucurbitales; Cucurbitaceae. The record is from RefSeq and is a predicted model, not a curated record.